UCCUUCCAAAGAACAGUUAGAGCAGGAAAAACAACUACUACUUUCUUUCAAGCCAGUAAUGCAGAAAUUUCUUCAUGAUCACGUUGAUCUACAAGUCAGUGCCCUGUAUGCUCUUCAGGUGCACUGCUAUAACAGCAACUUCCCAAAAGGCAUGUUACUUCGCUUUUUUGUGCACUUCUAUGACAUGGAAAUUAUUGAAGAAGAAGCUUUCUUGGCUUGGAAAGAAGAUAUAACCCAAGAGUUUCCGGGAAAAGGCAAGGCUUUGUUCCAGGUAAGUCUUUUGUUAAAAAAUUUGGUCUGCUUAUUUCAGUUUGCUUGGUAUUAACUUCAAGUUAAGAGCCUUUUUCAACUGAAAUACAGGCAAGGUAGUCCUAGUUAGUAGUUUGUCUUCACCUGUACAUUUCAUUCUGUACUAUUUAAAGCUAUGAUUAAGUAAAGCUACACAAUGAAUCAAUUCUAGUGGUGUAUAAGAUGUUAGAGGUAGCUAACUUUUCAAGGAGUAUAGCUACUUAUAUACAUGG
Molecule: small RNA, 521 nt
Filed under: Pan troglodytes (chimpanzee)
Lineage: Eukaryota; Metazoa; Chordata; Mammalia; Primates; Hominidae
Description: retained intron
Source: RNAcentral